UUAAACUCUCUUUCAUGGUACAUGGGUAUCGUUUAAAUUUUUUGCCAAUUAAUUUAGUAAAACUUCAUAAUACUCCCUAAAUUGGUGGACUAACCACUAUAAAAUCGCUAUUUUCUAAAGAAACCGAGACAACAAAAGUUCCAAACCUCUUUGACCUUCAUCAUAUGUUAGUGAAGGAUGCAACUAUACAUUAAAACAGAAUUUUCAUUUUUAAAAUUUUUUCUCAAAAUCUAUGAGUUAACCCCUACGAAAAUAUUGAAUUUUUAGGUAAAUGAUAUAUAUACUUAAGUCUAUGAUCCUUAGGGUUGUUU
Molecule: long non-coding RNA, 311 nt
Filed under: Brassica napus (rape)
Lineage: Eukaryota; Viridiplantae; Streptophyta; Magnoliopsida; Brassicales; Brassicaceae
Description: long non-coding RNA (BNAP_LNC001881)
Source: RNAcentral